GCUUAACACAUGCAGUCAAGGAGAACGUUCUUCGGAAAAUUAUUAAACUGGCGAACGGGUGAGUAACACGUAGACAACCUGCCCUAAAGAUUGGGAUAACCCCGGGGAAAGCGGGACUAAUACCGAAUGAAGCAACUGACCCAUCGGGGUACAGUUGUUAAAGUGGGCUUCGGCUCACACUUUAGGAUGGGUCUGCGUCCGAUUAGCUUGUUGGUAAGGUAAUGGCUUACCAAGGCGAUGAUCGGUAGCUGGUCUGAGAGGAUGAUCAGCCACACUGGGAUUGAGAUAUGGCCCAGACUCCUACGGGAGGCAGCAGUGGGGAAUUUUGCGCAAUGGGGGAAACCCUGACGCAGCAACGCCGCGUGACCGAUGAAGCUUCUAGGAGCGUAAAGGUCUGUCGUAAGGGAAGAAAAGUUUGGAUGUAAAUAAUGUUCAAACCUGACGGUACCUUACAAGAAAGCACCGGCUAACUUCGUGCCAGCAGCCGCGGUAAUACGAGGGGUGCUAGCGUUGUCCGGAAUCACUGGGCGUAAAGGGUCCGUAGGCGUUUCAACAAGUCAUUUGUUAAAGACACCGGCUUAACCGGUGGCCUGCAUUUGAAACUGUUAGAAUAGAGUAUAGGAGAUGAAAGUGGAAUUCCUGGUGUAGCGGUGACAUGCGUAGAUAUCAGGAGGAACACCAAUGGCGAAGGCAACUUUCUGGCCUAUUACUGACGCUGAUGGACGAAAGCGUGGGGAGCGAACAGGAUUAGAUACCCUGGUAGUCCACGCCGUAAACGAUGAGUACUUGGUGUCGGGGGAUUCGACCCCCUCGGUACCGGAGCUAACGCGUUAAGUACUCCGCCUGGGAACUACGACCGCAAGGUUGAAACUCAAAGGAAUUGACGGGGACCCGCACAAGCGGUGGAACAUGUGGUUUAAUUCGAUGCAACGCGAAGAACCUUACCUGGGUUUGACAUGUAAGUGGUACCAAUUCGAAAGAUGAGGGACCCGCAAGGGAGCUUACACAGGUGCUGCAUGGUUGUCGUCAGCUCGUGCCGUGAGGUGUUGGUUUAAGUACCGCAACGAGCGCAACCCUCGUCGUUAGUUGUAUUUUCUAGCGAGACUGCCCGAAAGGGAGGAAGGUGGGGACGACGUCAAAUCAUCAUGGCUCUUACGUCUAGGGCUACACACACGCUACAAUGGCCGGUACAGACGGUUGCUAAGCCGCGAGGUGGAGCCAAUCCGAAAAAACCGGCCCCAGUUGGGAUUGCAGGCUGAAACUCGCC
RNAcentral lists this ribosomal RNA (1267 nucleotides) under uncultured marine bacterium. RNAcentral's name for it is "bacterial SSU rRNA". It matches the Rfam family "Bacterial small subunit ribosomal RNA", at positions 46 to 1316 of the family's 1533-position model. The record is from RNAcentral.